GGAAAUGAAAAUUUUAAAACAAAAAAGAUUGACUUGGUAGCAUUAUACAGAAGAGGAGUGUGAAUGAAUACUAUUAUUUAAAUCCCUAUCUGAUCUCUUUUCUUCAUUGGUCUACUGUAUACUUAUAUUUUCUAGUAUGCUUUACUUUAUCCUUAUUAUUUUUAUUUUUCAUGUUUCUUUGUUUUUUAAAUACUCAUUUGACUACCCAACUGGCCUUACUGGCCUGAAUUUCAUACUAAUAAACAACAUUCUGACUAUAUCAUCUGGUUAGAGGCAACUAACCCACUGCAGGUCCAAUUCAUGUUUACUAUUACUUUUAACUCUCCUAUUUGUUGAAAUGAAACAAAAUAUUUUUUGUGAUUUGGAAAAAUAAAAGGCCUGCUAAAGAGUGAUCUACUUAGGGGAUAGAGAAAGCUACUCUUUGAGUUGAACUAUUUUCCAGAAUACUCUUCUGUCUCUAAUCUCGUUUUUACCUUUGUGCUAAAUUGAUGUACUUUUGUAGCAGUUUGAUUUUCAUAGUCAGCUAACAUAUUCUUUUA
RNAcentral lists this long non-coding RNA (539 nucleotides) under Bos taurus (domestic cattle). RNAcentral describes it as "long non-coding RNA NONBTAT010652". Lineage: Eukaryota; Metazoa; Chordata; Mammalia; Artiodactyla; Bovidae. The record is from RNAcentral.